GGUAGCUAAAAAUGGUUAUGGAAUUCCAAGUAGGAUGAGAAACUACUCUGACUUGACCGACAGUGGAAUCAUAUAACCCACCAAAGAAGAUGGCUUUAGCAACUAGCAAGCCAGCACCAAAACCCAACAAAACUAGGUGAAUGCCCAAGAUUGUGGUCAUUUUAUUGGCAUCUUGCCA
This 178-nucleotide antisense RNA is filed under the name Calothrix sp. PCC 7507. Its description in RNAcentral is "Antisense RNA which regulates isiA expression". It matches the Rfam family "Antisense RNA which regulates isiA expression". The record is from Rfam by way of RNAcentral. Lineage: Bacteria; Bacillati; Cyanobacteriota; Cyanophyceae; Nostocales; Calotrichaceae.